GCUGAUCUUCUCGUCACCUUAUUUCCUGCGCUUGGCGCUGGUUGAUGUUGCUGUGACAACUGCCACCGACUGCGACUCCUUGCCAGUGAGCCGGACAAGGUACCUACAAGGCGGCGUUAGGUUGCCUGAUCGGGAAGGCUGAAAAAGGCUGUCCUGGGAAGGGCACGACGCGAGCAGCGCCGUAAACGUUUAGCCAAGCGACCUACCGUUAGAGGAUAUCACAGCCGCGUGUAACCAUGAGCCCGAGCCCUUCCCCCGGAGAUUCUCAUACAUCCUAGCCGAUAGUAUCAGAUUGCUGGCCCAUAGCUGGGGAUCAGGUAUGUCCGUUGAGCACGUGCUAGGGGAAGCUCUCCUCUUUGGCCUCUUUACGCCCUCAAAGUAUCAGCGAAGGUUAUUAUAAACUCAAGUCAACCACGGAAGCAGGGCUGCUCUACUGCUGCUGCUGUCGAAGUUUAGGUACCCAAUGCCUCGCUUAUCAAAAUUUGCCACCCCCCCUUUUGUCACUUCAUGCCAUUGCAGCACCAACAAGACUCACGACGUGACCGCCGCGGCGUGGGACGGAGGUUUCCACGGCGGGGGAAAGGAUGCGGCUCAGCAGGAGGUGUGAUCUCAAGUGACUGCUCAUUUUCAUGCCGGUUGCCGCGCUGUGCUCUUUUGGCCUCACCGUGUACGUUUGGUCGGAGAUCCGAGCAUUGGGUUCUGGCUUGAGGUUCUCCGAGGUAGUUCCAGUGUGGUCGUUGAGCGUAUUUUACUACCUGGAAUACAACAACGUACAGUUUGGGGUUGAUGGAGGACGCUGACCUUCCACCGCUUCGGGCAUUUCCCAUCAAAGGAAAUCAAGGCCAAUACCUGCCCGAGAAAGUGGUAUAGGAUACGGCUCAAUCUAAAGGGUCAGCUAUGAGUCAGCAGCUCAAUAUCGGACUCCAACUACCGACGGCAACGAGAUGCGUCGACAAUGCAUGAUCGCUUCCCCGGAUGAGAUGAUGACCACCCUCCUACUCGGCGCUGACGGAUGGGUGAGCCGCGCCGUGCCAUGGUUACCGCCUGACUGUUGUUAAUGUGACCUCGGGCGAGGUGGUGAUGUUCUGACGGUUUGAUGAACUGCCUAGGAGGGUAAUGGGAUUUGGAAGAAAGAGGCUCACCGCUUUGACCUCCCGCUGGCAUGACGGUUCGUCGUUUGGGAGGGCCGAAACGAGAUGACUCUUGUCAUCUGGUCUGUCGCACAAAGAAAGCCUACAGUACCCUGCCUGGCUUUGGGACACAGGAAGGCUGGCCUGGUAAUAGUGGUCUACACCCAGACACCCUACCGGUCCUCUGUCAGAGGUGGAAGAUCAUUUGGCGAUCACGCGUCCAUGAGACCAUCUCCAGACACUGGCUCGAUGGAUUCUUUGGUUUAUUUCUCUCAGAUCUUGAAAAAGAACCAAUCGAGAAG
Neurospora crassa OR74A is the source of this 1432-nucleotide non-coding RNA. The record is from RefSeq and is a predicted model, not a curated record. NCBI's taxonomy places the organism in Eukaryota, Fungi, Ascomycota, Sordariomycetes, Sordariales, Sordariaceae.